Long non-coding RNA from Brassica napus (rape), 468 nucleotides. RefSeq lists it as uncharacterized. NCBI's taxonomy places the organism in Eukaryota, Viridiplantae, Streptophyta, Magnoliopsida, Brassicales, Brassicaceae. The record is from RefSeq and is a predicted model, not a curated record. The transcript has 2 exons.
CUUACGACGAGAUCGAAUUCUGAUUUGUUUAGUUUCAAGAGGUAGAGUAGGCCAAAGAGAUCGUCUGUGUCGACAUCUGUGUCCACUAGAAUACGGUGUGGGCUAGACAGAACACAGUGGAGAUUUUGUCCUAAGAAUCCGACGAUGAUGAGGAAGAACCAUAAACUCUUGCAAGAUGGACUCAUCGACAUCUUUUAGAAGGAGAAGAAGAAGCACAAAGAUGACUACAGUGAAACAGAGGAUGAAGAUGAAUGAGAGUUUUUUUUUUUUUUUGCUAAAAGAUGACUGAGAGUUGAGGAAUAUCUUUCUUGUUUGAUCUAAAACAAGACCUGUUUCUCCAAAUGGGCGAGACCCAAAAGAUAUCAGAUCAAGUAACCUAUAAUAUAUAAAAGCGAUAUGAAAGAAAAGGUAAUAAGAAUGAGAAAGUUGGUUCCUAUGUAUGUGGAUGCUAUGAGGAAUCAGCUUAAA